This is a long non-coding RNA of Ochotona princeps (American pika), 2075 nucleotides long. RefSeq lists it as uncharacterized. The record is from RefSeq and is a predicted model, not a curated record. The transcript is spliced from 2 exons. NCBI's taxonomy places the organism in Eukaryota, Metazoa, Chordata, Mammalia, Lagomorpha, Ochotonidae.
AAGAGGAGCUUAGCUGGUGUUUGGUCAGGGAUGAGUGGGAGAGUUACUUGUAGGGAAGCUUUUCCUGUUCGUGGAUACCAUCAGUACUACAUGUGAUACUUGAUGUAAAAGUUUGGUCCCUUGUUCCAGGAAAUGUUCUACAACCUCCAGCAAGAAGAAGCUGUUUCCUGAAUCAGCUCAAGCUAAGUCCCCUGAAAUCUAGACUUUUGGUAAGACCUAUGGGACAGAGUAAGUGAGCACAAAAAACUGUGAAGUAAUAUGGACUGGAGUCUGGUAAACUGGAGGGCUGGGCAGUUCUAAAGAGACAUCACAAGUUUUCCAGCAACGGUGGUUCCAAAAGGUAAGGAUUUCAGAGCUUUCCUCAGUCAAGGUCACUGCUGGCAAAUAACCUACAGGUUUUCUGAAUUCCUGUAGCCUCUUUGGAUUGCUCACCAUUAUUCUGGGCCUGAAAGAUAAGAUCCUGUGGUCCUGCAAUGACUUUUGUAACCCAGUCACUGCACCUGUAUGUACUGGUAAUGUGUCUGUCCUUUAUUAUUGUUUGGCUUUUGCUGCCAUGCCACAUGGACAGGGAUGUUCCUCCAAGCAUUAAUGUAAAGAUCCAAAUCUGAUUUGUUGGGCCCUUUGAUUCAAAUAUUUUGACAGUUUUCAAGGCAAAUUGUCAUUUAAAACUUGUAUGUUGAAUGUCUGUUUCUUCUGGUCCUGUUUCCUUGGAUACUCCAGAUAGAGGGACCACAGGGCUCAGUCAGUUACACAUAUUGUGAUUAAUAUCAUAGCUGUUGCUGCUGCUGCUGUUGCCUAGGGUGAUUCUUGGCCAUCCAGUUGAUGCCCACACCCAAACAACCAGUCUAACAAUUAGGGGAAUUUGAGGCAGUCUACUAAAUUUCUCCCCAACACCAUAAAAUAAACGCCUUCCCUUUUUUUUUCUUCUGUCAUCUUCCUUAGGUGUAAUAAGUGUCUGCUUCCUACCUCAGGGUCUUUGUGGGAGCAGAGUCAUGGAGGGUAAUUACAGCAGUGUUUUCUACCAUAUGUAAUUAGCUAUGCUUAGCUCAUAAAAUGCCCCAGUCCUGGUAAGUGAGUUAGGGGUCCCUUGUACUUCCGGCAAAACUGCUGUCUCAUGUUUCUUGGAACUGGUGGAGGAUAAUGUGCUCUCCUAAAAGCAAGCCAAAACAAAGCCCAGUGACUCUGAUCCUUUGACCUGCCUCGGGUACCAGUUUGGGUAAUUCUUUCAGCCUAGACUUCUGAUUUAGGGAUUCAGCAUUAUAAUUUUUGAGAGGUCACAUUUAGUCCCAAACAAUCUACUUGAUGUAGAGGAUUUUUAUUCUUAAAGCCAAGCUCUAUAUAGCACCCUAAAUGAUAAGUGACCAUCAUCAUAAUCACUAAUUAGCAAUCAUAAUCAAAGUGACCAGAGUAGAUGGGAGAAAUGGGCAAAACUCUGAAGAGGACUUUGGUAAUAACUAUGGAGAAGGAAGUAUUUCCAUUAGCUGAUCAUUCAUCCACUUGUUUAUUCAUCAAGUGUUGAUCAUCCACGUGCCUCCAGGUUGGUCAACCCAGUAUUGAACCUAAAGUUGUCAUGCUGGGGCAUAGGUGUUCAUGUGACCUAAGACAUGCUAACGGGAGUCAGAGGACUUACUGGAAAUGUGAAGAAAAGGACCAUCUUUGCCCCAGGAGUUCAUGUGCCAGAUUUGGGUAUUGUACCUGCAGCAUUCGUCUUUCCUUUUCAAAAGAGAGAUCUGCCUGUAGAGUAAACCAACAGAGACACUUAAAUGACAAGAAGAGAUGGUCCUUGGACAGCAGUGAAAACGCUACUUCGUGUGCUUGCAUUCUGUGGUUCGAGUCCACUCUCUUGUGCUUCCAAUUACAGCUUCCUGCUAAUGUGCACCCUGGGAGACAGCAGGUAAAUGGUACGAAUAUGUGCGCCCUUGUCACCCACAAGGAAACCUGGGUUGAAUUCUGGGCUCCUGGCUUUAGCAUGACUCAACCCUAGCUGGUGUGGGUAUUUCUGGAGAGUGAACAAGUUGAUGUAAGUUUGUCUGUUUGCCUUUGUCUUUCAAAUAAAGUACACAUUUUAAAGAGUA